GUGGGGAAUAUUGGACAAUGGGCGAAAGCCUGAUCCAGCCACGCCGCGUGAGUGAUGAAGGCCCUCGGGUCGUAAAGCUCUGUGGAGAGGGACGAAACCUUAUGCGUUAAUAGCGCAUAAAUUGACGGUACCUCCUUAGCAAGCACCGGCUAACUCCGUGCCAGCAGCCGCGGUAAUACGGGGGGUGCAAACGUUGCUCGGAAUUAUUGGGCGUAAAGCGCACGUAGGCGGUCCGGUAAGUCGGAUGUGAAAGCCCUCGGCUCAACCGAGGAAGUGCAUUCGAAACUGCCAGACUUGAGUACGGGAGAGGAUCGCGGAAUUCCCGGUGUAGAGGUGAAAUUCGUAGAUAUCGGGAGGAACACCAGUGGCGAAGGCGGCGAUCUGGACCGAUACUGACGCUGAGGUGCGAAAGCGUGGGGAGCAAACAGG
RNAcentral lists this ribosomal RNA (429 nucleotides) under uncultured bacterium. Its description in RNAcentral is "bacterial SSU rRNA". It matches the Rfam family "Bacterial small subunit ribosomal RNA", at positions 354 to 776 of the family's 1533-position model. The record is from RNAcentral.